GGCGAACGGGUGAGGAACACGUGAAGAAUCUGCCCUCCACUUUGGGAUAACACCGGGAAACCGGUGCUAAUACCGAAUAUUGAAACAUAAGUGGCAUCACUGAGUUUUGAAAGAAUUUCGGUGGAGGAUGACUUCGCGGCUUAUCAGCUAGUUGGUGAGGUAAUGGCUCACCAAGGCAACGACGGGUAGCCGGCCUGAGAGGGCGACCGGCCACACUGGGACUGAGACACGGCCCAGACUCCUACGGGAGGCAGCAGUGGGGAAUAUUGGGCAAUGGAGGAAACUCUGACCCAGCGACGCCGCGUGCGGGAUGAAGGCCUUCGGGUUGUAAACCGCUUUCAGUAGGGAAGAAGCGAAAGUGACGGUACCUACAAAAGAAGCACCGGCUAACUAUGUGCCAGCAGCCGCGGUAAUACAUAGGGUGCAAGCGUUGUCCGGAAUUAUUGGGCGUAAAGAGCUCGUAGGUCGUUUGUUACGUCGGAUGUGAAAACCUGAGGCUCAACCUCAGGCCUGCAUUCGAUACGGGCAAACUAGAGUUUGGUAGGGGAGACUAGAAUUCCUGGUGUAGCGGUGGAAUGCGCAGAUAUCAGGAGGAACACCAAUGGCGAAGGCAGGUCUCUGGGCCAAUACUGACACUGAGGGGCGAAAGUCUGGGGAGCGAACAGGAUUAGAUACCCUGGUAGUCCAGACCGUAAACGGUGGGCACUAGUUGUGGGAACCUUCCACGGUUUCUGCGACGCAGCUAACGCAUUAAGUGCCCC
Molecule: ribosomal RNA, 761 nt
Filed under: uncultured Actinomycetales bacterium
Lineage: Bacteria; Bacillati; Actinomycetota; Actinomycetes; Actinomycetales
Description: bacterial SSU rRNA
Rfam family: Bacterial small subunit ribosomal RNA
Source: RNAcentral